AGGCAGCAGACAAGCUGCAAAGAGCUCCUUUUCUCCCGCCUCUCAGCUGAUCGGCGGGUGGGCGGGGCUUCCACGGAGGCCUCGUGUAGGCCUCUGUGAAGCCUGAACUCCAGUAGGGCCCAAGCCAGCCAGGAAGGAGGAGGCAGCCAGAGAGGCCUCCACUGUUCUCUGCAGCAGAAGACCCCCUGCUGCCAGUAACCAUCGGGUCCAGAGAACAAGUGGAAUGUGAAGAAAACAAAUGGAAAAAGAGAGAGAGAUGGCGAGAAAGGGGUGGGGGCUGCCUUGGUACUGCUGCCUCACAAGAAGGGGACAACGAUGGAAGGGAGCUAUCCCAACAGAACUCCUGCACAGUCCGGACUGAAAGUCCAGUGGGUGAGCAGCCGAAAUGACGAAGACCUGGUGCAACGAGGUCAGGUGCAUUGCUAUUUGUGCAUAUGCUGUCUUCACAAGACUAACCAAACAGAUUGAAAUUGUGCAUACUCCCAACAGGAAGAAAUUAUGUUGUAAUGAAGUCAAGAAAGAAAAAGAAAGAAAGAAAGAAAGAAAGAAAGAAAGAAAGAAAGAAAGAAAGAAAGAAAGAAAGAAAGAUCCAUCCCUAGGAAUCUAGCUCUGUCAUAUAUCAUUGGCUUAUGUGAGUCAGCAAGUAGAUAGUCUCUCUAUAAUGUAAAUGGUUUUCAAGACUUUCAGAGGAAAAUUGACAACUCAGUGCAUUUAUCUGUCCUAUUGCACUAUCCUAGACUUCCUUUAACACACAUGGUAGUUUUUGUAGAGGAAGAAUAGCAGUCAGUCCCCAAGUAGCAAAGCAAACUGGUUUGGUGAGAAAGCAGCAAAGCAAGAGGUCUUGAGACAUUUCUUUAGUAUUGAAGAACUACAAGGAGUUAUUUAAAGAAAAGGUUACAAUCAAAUGUGAAAAAGCCUGCAGCUUAAUUUCAGCUGUAGCUCAUGGCUGACGAGAGAAACCAAAACAAACAGCCAUCUCUGGAGAGACAAAAUGGAGACUAACACUGGAAGAACAAAGAGGGGAGGAGUCCAGCACUUUUAUCCAUGACCCGAAAAUCCCCCAGUGGUCACUAUGAGACAUUGCAGCUGAGUGCUGAUGCUGCCAGGGUCCUAGCUAAAACAGUUUUAAGAUCUCAUAUUAUAUUUUCUUUUGUAUUUUCUUUUCAAAAAGGGGAAAACAAAUAAGUACAGUAUGAGGGGAAAUUAACCAUAUUUGAAUACAGGCCUAAAGAGUAAUUUAUAUGAAGGCAUGAAAAAAAUUAUAAGCCCACUCUUUAAAAGAAGAAAUGCAGUUUUGUGGUGUGUUUUUUAAACUUCCCUUCACAGUAUGUUAUGUACUAUGCUGAAUUCACAGAAAGGGGGCCAUACCUGUGGUAAAUGAUUCAUUUUGUGCUGGGCAUAGGAAUGAGGUGUCCACCUCCCUCUUACGUCCAGCACAAAAUGAGAACACAAAGGACUUGGAAGGAGAAAUCACUCAGUAUUGAGGUUGAGGGGCUAGCCUCAACUCAAGGGAGGACUGGGGCCUUGUCUUUCACCUUGCACCAAGAAAUGUCAGCAAGGGAGUACUUCUUCAAACCUGCACCAGAACCCACACAAAGUAAAGCACUUACUCCACCCCUCUUUGUAGUUCAGUAUGUGUUGCAGAGGGCUCAGGGGAGGGGAGAGGUCUGUGACCAUCACAAAUAACAGCUGGCUUUUAAGUUCGGUGAAAUGUGUAGAUCCUUGCUCAGAAUUCAGUUCAAGAUCUCUGUUCUGAGUACUAAUGCUCUAUGAGUCACUGUCACAACCUGAGAUGUCCUUUUGUUCCAUGCACAAUCUCUUGCAGUAGCCACAUUCGGCUAGGCAAAUGAAGGUGUAAUUUGUUCACAAACAAGCCCAUGAUGUAGGAGAAGGAACUCUGAAGGUAGUUCUGGAACUAAUUACUAGAGAAAAGAAGAAUGACUCCUAACAAUAAGGUAUAUUUAGCAACACACAGUGGUAAUUACUUUCACUUUCAUGCUGUAUAAGAAGCUGCUUUAUGACAUCUCAGGUAUGUUGGAAGUCAGGGAUUUUCCCUGUGUCCGUUUCUUGGUUAGGUAAUUUACACCAGGCACCAGUAUCACACUUUCAAAUAGAGCUUUAUUGAAGUUUGCUAGCAAUCAAAGCUCACUGGGUGUGGCUGUGCGCUCUAGCAGUUUCUGCAUCUCUUUUAUAUUGAGAGAACAGUACGUUCCGCAUUUGCGCAUUGCAUACAAGCCAGUGCAUACCCCUUUAACUCAAAAGGUCCCAGAUGCUUUCAAGUGUGACUUCUCUCACCCACACAGACAUAAUCAAGCACCUUCAAGGCAAGGGACAGAAGGUACCAAAUUCGAAAAGCACCAUCUAUCUCAGCUAGCUUGCUGCUAUUCAAACUGAUUCUUUUCGCUGCUCAAGCACAUUUUCAAAUAUCUUCCCACAGGUAUUUUAUGGGGAAAUCAUCAAAGAAUCUUCUAGUUAUUCAUACUUCCAGUAAUUGUAAGCAGUUUUGCUAUUCAGGAAGUUUUUAUCUGCUUACUCUCUCAGAAUGCAGCCCUACGUGGUCCAGAGGAAACCUGAAAUGUUCACAAGUUUUGACAGGUAGAUCUAUUCACUGGUCCAUGACAGAGGACUAAAGAUAGUCACUACAGUAAUAUAGUGAAAAUCGCCAGUGAAGUAACAGUAAUACAAUGCAUCCUUAGUGAGAUCCCCAAGGAAGAUGUGCCUACAUGACAAUAUGGAUAUCACUUAUCAUGGAAAAAAACAUGGCCAAGAUCUCUUGGAUAUUUGCUUAGGUCAAACUGAUGUGGGAGAUGGUGAGGGUAUUGUACAGACACAUUAUCUGAAUUGUCUACAUACUUGCGUUUGAACAAUUAUAAUCCAGCCAGGAACAUACUACAUUAUAUAAUAAUCUAUUUUUUAUCUGCUGAAUGGAAAUAACUUAUGAAAGGUGUGGGAAUUUGCAGUCUCUGUUUGAGAGAUUUACACACUGAUGGUGGGGGAUGCUGGAGUAUUAAACAGACAAAAUGUUUAACUCUAUCUGCCUGCACUUGGCAUUGAAUAAGAUUAAUAGGCCUGUGUGAAGCUCCAGCCAAAGCUGAAUAGUACACACAGCUGUCCUAGCACCGCACAGGAGCAAUCAUUCCUACCACCCAGUGCUGUGCUUUUUCUAGCACCACUGGGGCUUCUUUAAGGGCAGUGUUCUAUUCUGUCUAGCAGUCCUUUAUAUUUUGUUAAUUAGAAGUUUGUCCCAGUGGGGAUCAUGUAGAGCAGGGUUUCUCAACGUGUGGGUCCCCAGAUGUUACUGGACUUCAGCUCCCAUAAUCCCCUGCCCCAGUGGCCUUUGGUUGGGAAUUAUGGGAGUUGAAGUCCAAUUACAUCUGGGGACCCACACGUUGAGAAUCCCUGAUGUAGAGAGAGAGGGGUGGGGCGGAGUCAGAAAAGGAAGGGAAGGAGAAGGAUAAAAAUGGAGUUGUUCCUGAAUAGUGUCUCACUUUUGAGUGAUUUUUAGGAGGGGGCUCUAAAGUGGGAGAAAUUGUUGUGGAGUUGGUUCUAACUCUAAAUUAGGGGAUGCGUCUUCAGUGAAGAACAAAGCAGUCCUAAAUCAUCAUAUCUUGUUACACUGCAGCAGUAGUAGCAAGGGUGGACAAGGACACCACUCCCACAGCAGUGCAUCAAGACAAGGAGUGUUGGCCUGGUUGCCUCAGCAAUAUAGGUGCAUUUACAUCAAUUUAGAGUAAGGUCAAUGCACUGAAUUGGCUUGCCCUCAAUGAUAUUCUUCUUCAUGAUUCCCACCGCACAUUAAGAUCAUCAAGAGAGGUCCAUCUCCAUACUUGGGAGUGGGCCUUCUCUGUAGUCGCUACUGGGCUGUGGAUUGCACUCACUAUAGACAUUUGUGGCUUAACAUCUUCAUCAGCCUUUAAAAGAGCUCUUAAGACACACUUUUAUAGCCACGCUUUUAGUAAUCUCUGAAUGUUUUAAAUUUUUAAUUGCUGUUUAAUAUUUUAUAAUUGCUGUAAUCUUUGAAUUAUUAUUUUUUAAAUAAUUGUUAUUUAACAGCUGGUUUUAUUCUGUUUCUAUUGUGUUUUAAAAUAAUAAUUGUUGUUUAAUAGUUGGUUUUAAUCAUGA
Molecule: long non-coding RNA, 4122 nt
Organism: Hemicordylus capensis (graceful crag lizard)
Lineage: Eukaryota; Metazoa; Chordata; Lepidosauria; Squamata; Cordylidae
Exons: 4
Source: RefSeq, a predicted model, not a curated record